UAAAUGAUUUUUGGAUUCGGAGCGAGUGGCGAACUGGUGAGUAACACGUGGGUAACCUGCCCCGAAGCGGGGGAUAACAUUUGGAAACAAGUGCUAAUACCGCAUAAUUAGUUGGAACCGCAUGGUUCCAACUUGAAAGAUGGCUCUGCUAUCACUUUGGGAUGGACCCGCGCCGUAUUAGUUAGUUGGUGAGAUAAAAGCCCACCAAGACGAUGAUACGUAGCCGACCUGAGAGGGUAAUCGGCCACAUUGGGACUGAGACACGGCCCAGACUCCUACGGGAGGCAGCAGUAGGGAAUCUUCCACAAUGGACGAAAGUCUGAUGGAGCAACGCCGCGUGAGUGAUGAAGGUUUUCGGAUCGUAAAACUCUGUUGUUAAAGAAGAACAAGUGUUAGAGUAACUGUUAACACUUUGACGGUAUUUAACCAGAAAGCCACGGCUAACUACGUGCCAGCAGCCGCGGUAAUACGUAGGUGGCAAGCGUUGUCCGGAUUUAUUGG
RNAcentral lists this ribosomal RNA (501 nucleotides) under Apilactobacillus kunkeei. RNAcentral describes it as "bacterial SSU rRNA". It matches the Rfam family "Bacterial small subunit ribosomal RNA", at positions 70 to 557 of the family's 1533-position model. The record is from RNAcentral. Lineage: Bacteria; Bacillati; Bacillota; Bacilli; Lactobacillales; Lactobacillaceae.